Non-coding RNA from Delphinapterus leucas (beluga whale), 1381 nucleotides. NCBI's taxonomy places the organism in Eukaryota, Metazoa, Chordata, Mammalia, Artiodactyla, Monodontidae. The record is from RefSeq and is a predicted model, not a curated record.
AGUACCGGGGAAGGGAGAGGGAUGGGGGAAGGGAGAGGGUGUUAGAAAGAGUCCUAGCCUCGGGAUAGGGCUCUAAGAUAGCUUCAGAGGUUCACUGGCCUUCAAGGAGACGCCUCCCCUCUCCACUGUUCCUCAGACAUGCUCCAGGAGGUUUGAGAAAUGACUCUGUUCCCGAACAGGAGAAGCGCUAAUGCCCAAAUGGGGAGGGGGAGUAAAGCAGUGAAAAAAAAAAAAAAAGUAUCUGUAACAGGUAGAAGUAGGCAAGAAAGCGAACAAGGAAAGUGUUGGUGAAAGAGGCAAGAGGAUGGGAGAAGGAAAGGCGGCCAGGAAGAGGCCAAGGGCGCUCAGAUCCAACAGAGAGUCCCCCUGGGUGCCCUCGCCCUGCUGCCUUCUGUGGACAUCAAGAAUGGAGGCAACCGGAAGAUGGGAUGGAGAGGAAAGAAGAGCAAAGGCUGUAGCUCUGUCCUACUCCAUCAGAGAUUCUGGGACUGGGAGAAUGACCACCUUCACAUUUCUCCAAUCCUCUGAGGACCCCAGGACCCACGGUAUUGAGAAAAGCUUUGAUGGAGCCGGCUGGUAGAUCUCCACUCCAGAUUUUCCAGCUGUCCCUGUCCCCCCACCGCUCAGAGAGCAGGAUGCUGAGAUGGCUCGGUGAUGCAGAAGAAAAAUCAUCGGCACGGAGGGACGGAGACGCCUGGCUGUAGGUUUUGGGACCACUAUGGUUCCGUCCCUUUACCUCCGAGAAAACAAAAAGGCAGAUCGUCCCAUAUGCUGAUGAGGAAAGGUCCAGUUGUGCUCCAAGGUGACAACCACCUUGACCAAGGGUUUAGCACCCAGGUGACAGCAAGGACUACUCCAGUUUCCAAGUGAAACUAGCCAGGGGCACUGUUUCCUUGUUACCUUUCAAAUCCUCUUCUUAUCAUGUCCCACUGUUAACUAACGAAGAGCUUUACAUGAUUUAUCUUUCUACCCUAAGAAGACUAAUAGUCAUUCCUGCAGCAUUGACUCAAGGACUAGUUUGCUGUGGAAAGAGAUUCCAGUGAGCAAAUCUGGUGCUUGCUUCUGAGUGAAUGAUGAAAAAGCUCCAUCAGAACAGAAUCCUGUGGCAUGGCUCUCCAGAUUGUUCUUCCAAGCUGAAUUCUAUUCACACAUCAAAACUCUAGAGAUGUACCUUUUAAAGCAGCUACAAAUCCAGUAAUCAAUAUCAUCAACUUAUUUCUUCUAGGUGCCCUUCUGCAGUUCAGCACGAGGACGGUUCCUUCAGGCAGGCUUCCCAUAGAUAUUGAAAGGUUAACUUACUAUCAGAAGACCUCGGAUUAUCUACGAACAUUAGCUGUUUUAGGACCCAUUUGCAGUCAUGAUCUCACUCUACUUGCAGAUC